UAGGGAAUCUUCCACAAUGGACGCAAGUCUGAUGGAGCAACGCCGCGUGAGUGAAGAAGGCUUUCGGGUCGUAAAACUCUGUUAUUGAAGAAGAACGUGCGUGACAGUAACUGGUCAUGCAGUGACGGUAUUCAAUCAGAAAGUCACGGCUAACUACGUGCCAGCAGCCGCGGUAAUACGUAGGUGGCAAGCGUUGUCCGGAUUUAUUGGGCGUAAAGCGAGUGCAGGCGGUCUUUUAAGUCUGAUGUGAAAGCCUUCGGCUUAACCGAAGAAGGGCAUCGGAAACUGGGAGACCUGAGUGCAGAAGAGGAGAGUGGAACUCCAUGUGUAGCGGUGAAAUGCGUAGAUAUAUGGAAGAACACCAGUGGCGAAGGCGGCUCUCUGGUCUGUAACUGACGCUGAGGCUCGAAAAGCGUGGGUAGCAAACAGGAUUAGAUACCCU
Molecule: ribosomal RNA, 442 nt
Filed under: uncultured bacterium
Lineage: Bacteria
Description: partial 16S ribosomal RNA
Rfam family: Bacterial small subunit ribosomal RNA
Source: RNAcentral